Long non-coding RNA from Ursus maritimus (polar bear), 1248 nucleotides. The record is from Ensembl. NCBI's taxonomy places the organism in Eukaryota, Metazoa, Chordata, Mammalia, Carnivora, Ursidae.
AUUCACUGGGGGAUAUCAGAAGCUUUGUUUUGGCCACGUUUAGAUUCUGAGGUAUUUCAGAGAUCGCUGAGUGGAGGCAUCGGAUUGGCAGCUGGAAACCCAAGUCGGGAAAUCAAAAGAGCCGUUCAUAUUGGAGACAUUCAAAAUGUGGCAUUUACUGUGUGGACCUAAAGGCUGGUCCGUCCUUCUCAUACCAGAACCAUGGACACUGCUUGUUUCUCCAAUUCCGUAAGCACGUGCUGUGGCUGGUGGAUUUUCUUGGUCCUGAACAUACCCUUCCACAUAGUGGUCAUGUGUCACCAGGAAACGAGCUGGCUGGAAGUUAUUUGCAGAAAAACAGGUUAUUGGUGUGGAGUAGAUAAUGAGGAGGCACCUUUGGAGCAGAGCAUUUCCGUAGGAGUGUCACAGGUCAGGACUCCUAGACAGGACUCCUAGACAGGUGCGUCUGCCCAGAAGGCCCACUCCUGUGAGCCCCAGAAGCAGUACAUUGGAGAGAAACACUUCAGAAGCAGAGCCUCGUUUGUGAAGAGCUGCAGGUUCUGUGUGUCAAGGAAGCCCUUUACCUGCAGGGAGGUUUUGAAGGACUUCUUGAUCAGCUCAGGAUCUCUCCAAGUAAGUCCGCGAGCAGUACCAAGCGUGUAGUGGCCUUACAUAAUAUAAAAAUGUAUUAUAAAUGGGGAGGAUGCAUGAAAACUUGUGAGAACAAGUACACAUUUAUACAACACGAGAGAGACCUCUCUAGAACAAGAUGUUACAUAUAUAGUGCGUGUGGGAGGUCUUUUAGCAAAAGGUACCGCCUCAAUCACCACUGGAGAGUUCACACUGGAAAAGGGCCUUAAUGAGUGUGUGGAAUGUGGUAAAUUAUUUAGCAACAAGGCCAUCCUCAUUCAGCACCACACAGUUCACGCUGGGGAAAGGCCGUAUGUAUGCAGGGAAUGUGGGAACUUGUUUACUUACAGAUCUCUUUCAUUGCCUGAGGUUUCACACUGAAUCAAGGCCUUUUGAGUAUGGGGAAUGUGGGAAACCCUUUAAAUGACGCUCUGUUGCUCCUGCAGUGUUGGAAAGUUCACACUGGAUUAAGGCCUUAUGAAUGACUGCUCAGGUGGAGGACCUGGCUCACUGAAUAUCAGAAAAUUCACAUAGGAAAUUUAGGGAAUUAACAUCGAUGUGUGGGGAGUGUGCUAGUUCUGUAGUCCUUCUAACACAGCAGGUGAUCCCUUAUAAGGGUGCUAUCUACCUGAAUUUAAU